AAUGGGGGCAACCCUGAUCCAGCCAUGCCGCGUGAAUGAUGAAGGCCUUCGGGUUGUAAAAUUCUUUUGGUGGGGACGAUGAUGACGGUACCCACAGAAUAAGCUCCGGCUAACUUCGUGCCAGCAGCCGCGGUAAUACGAAGGGGGCUAGCGUUGUUCGGAAUUACUGGGCGUAAAGGGCGCGUAGGCGGCUUGAUAAGUUGGAUGUGAAAUCCCAGGGCUCAACCCUGGAAUUGCAUUCAAGACUAUCUUGCUUGAAUUCGGUAGAGGUUGGUGGAAUUCCCAGUGUAGAGGUGAAAUUCGUAGAGAUUGGGAAGAAUAUCCGUGGCGAAGGCGGCCAACUGGACCGACAUUGACGCUGAGGCGCGAAAGCGUGGGGAGCAAA
RNAcentral lists this ribosomal RNA (385 nucleotides) under uncultured bacterium. RNAcentral describes it as "bacterial SSU rRNA". It matches the Rfam family "Bacterial small subunit ribosomal RNA", at positions 370 to 772 of the family's 1533-position model. The record is from RNAcentral.